Molecule: signal recognition particle RNA, 270 nt
Filed under: Macaca mulatta (Rhesus monkey)
Lineage: Eukaryota; Metazoa; Chordata; Mammalia; Primates; Cercopithecidae
Description: Metazoan signal recognition particle RNA (ENSMMUG00000049265.1)
Rfam family: Metazoan signal recognition particle RNA
About the family: The signal recognition particle (SRP) is a universally conserved ribonucleoprotein.
Source: RNAcentral
GCCGGGCGAGGUGGCGGGCGCCUGUAGUCCCAGCUACUCGGGAGGCUGAGGCAGGAGAAUGGCGUGAACCCGGGAGGCAGAGCUUGCAGUGAGCCAAGAUCACGCCACUGCACUCCAGCCUGGGCGGCAGAGCAAGACUCUGUCUCAAAAAAAAAAAAAAAUUAUUUCAUUUAAUGUAGUCUCACUCUGUUGCCCAGGCUGGAGUGCAGUGGCAUGAUCUCGGCUCACUGUAACCUCUGCCUCCCAGGUCAAAGCGAUUUCCAGCUAAUU